RNAcentral lists this ribosomal RNA (1345 nucleotides) under uncultured bacterium. Its description in RNAcentral is "partial 16S ribosomal RNA". It matches the Rfam family "Bacterial small subunit ribosomal RNA", at positions 28 to 1380 of the family's 1533-position model. The record is from RNAcentral.
GUUGAACGCUGGCGGCGUGCUUAACACAUGCAAGUCGAACGGAAAGGCCCUGCUUUUGUGGGGUGCUCGAGUGGCGAACGGGUGAGUAACACGUGAGUAACCUGCCCUUGACUUUGGGAUAACUUCAGGAAACUGGGGCUAAUACCGGAUAGGAGCUCCUGCUGCAUGGUGGGGGUUGGAAAGUUUCGGCGGUUGGGGAUGGACUCGCGGCUUAUCAGCUUGUUGGUGGGGUAGUGGCUUACCAAGGCUUUGACGGGUAGCCGGCCUGAGAGGGUGACCGGCCACAUUGGGACUGAGAUACGGCCCAGACUCCUACGGGAGGCAGCAGUGGGGAAUAUUGCACAAUGGGCGGAAGCCUGAUGCAGCAACGCCGCGUGCGGGAUGACGGCCUUCGGGUUGUAAACCGCUUUCGCCUGUGACGAAGCGUGAGUGACGGUAAUGGGUAAAGAAGCACCGGCUAACUACGUGCCAGCAGCCGCGGUGAUACGUAGGGUGCGAGCGUUGUCCGGAUUUAUUGGGCGUAAAGGGCUCGUAGGUGGUUGAUCGCGUCGGAAGUGUAAUCUUGGGGCUUAACCCUGAGCGUGCUUUCGAUACGGGUUGACUUGAGGAAGGUAGGGGAGAAUGGAGUUCCUGGUGGAGCGGUGGAAUGCGCAGAUAUCAGGAGGAACACCAGUGGCGAAGGCGGUUCUCUGGGCCUUUCCUGACGCUGAGGAGCGAAAGCGUGGGGAGCGAACAGGCUUAGAUACCCUGGUAGUCCACGCUGUAAACGGUGGGUACUAGGUGUGGGGUCCAUUCCACGGGUUCCGUGCCGUAGCUAACGCUUUAAGUACCCCGCCUGGGGAGUACGGCCGCAAGGCUAAAACUCAAAGGAAUUGACGGGGCCCCGCACAAGCGGCGGAGCAUGCGGAUUAAUUCGAUGCAACGCGUAGAACCUUACCUGGGUUUGACAUGGAUCGGGAGUGCUCAGAGAUGGGUGUGCCUCUUUUGGGGUCGGUUCACAGGUGGUGCAUGCCUGUCGUCAGCUCGUGUCGUGAGAUGUUGGGUUAAGUCCCGCAACGAGCGCAACCCUUGUUCACUGUUGCCAGCACGUUAUGGUGGGGACUCAGUGGAGACCGCCGGGGUCAACUCGGAGGAAGGUGGGGAUGACGUCAAGUCAUCAUGCCCCUUAUGUCCAGGGCUUCACGCAUGCUACAAUGGCUGGUACAGAGAGUGGCGAGCCUGUGAGGGUGAGCGAAUCUCGGAAAGCCGGUCUCAGUUCGGAUUGGGGUCUGCGACUCGACCUCAUGAAGUCGGAGUCGCUAGUAAUCGCAGAUCAGCAACGCUGCGGUGAAUACGUUCCCGGGGC